Molecule: small nucleolar RNA, 114 nt
Filed under: Castor canadensis (American beaver)
Lineage: Eukaryota; Metazoa; Chordata; Mammalia; Rodentia; Castoridae
Description: Small nucleolar RNA SNORA63 (ENSCCNG00000004868.1)
Source: RNAcentral
AUGCACGAAAAUCCUACCCCACUUGCCAUUUCCCCUGUUCAAAAUAAGUUUGUUUUUUGACUAUACCUGUCUGCUAUACCCCUGUAGCAGCCAGGGACACUUGGUCUCAUACAU